UACCCGUAUGAGUUUCCGCUGAG
Molecule: microRNA, 23 nt
Filed under: Heligmosomoides polygyrus
Lineage: Eukaryota; Metazoa; Nematoda; Chromadorea; Rhabditida; Heligmosomidae
Description: hpo-miR-55-3p
Gene: hpo-miR-55-3p
Source: miRBase by way of RNAcentral